RNA transcript from Neodiprion fabricii, 1309 nucleotides. It is a transcript of the gene named luciferin sulfotransferase-like, with no coding region annotated. NCBI's taxonomy places the organism in Eukaryota, Metazoa, Arthropoda, Insecta, Hymenoptera, Diprionidae. The transcript is spliced from 6 exons. The record is from RefSeq and is a predicted model, not a curated record.
ACCGGGCCACUCGUCUCUACGAGUACGUACAGAUUUGCUUCACUAGUUUUUUGCCGAGUUAUACAGUGAAUCAAUUCUGACUAUAGUGUUGUUAGCAUUAUAUAAUAAAGAUGCAACACGAAAUCACAUUGUUCGACGAUGAAGUAGCAAAUCUCGUUAAGAAACACCUAACCAGACCGGGUCAUCAAGGUUACAUAAAACUGGAUGGAAUUACUUUACCGGGGCAAUUCAGAAAAUUCGUCAAUACCAUAGACAACUUUGAAGUUCGCGAUGACGAUAUUUGGGUCUGCACCUUUCCACGGACGGGUACUACUUGGACGCAGGAAAUGGUUUGGUGCAUAGCUAACGACUCGAACUUUGAGAGAGCCAAAGUUCUUCUCAAUGACAGAUUUCCAUACUUGGAGAUAUCUGCUGUGAUUGGCGCUCCGAAACCAUUGGAUCAUGGUCCAAUCUCUGACAUUAAGGUGCCAGAACACGUGAUCGACAGUAUCGGAUAUUGUCAAAAAUUGCCCAGUCCCAGAUUCAUAAAGACACACCUUCCGUUCAGUUUACUUCCUCGGCAGCUUAAGAGAGGAGAAAAAAAUGCCAAGAUUGUAUACGUUUCCCGAAAUCCCAAGGACACGUGCAUUUCUUAUUUUCAUCACGCCAAAGUAUCCGAAGGGUUUAAAGGGAGCUUCGAGGAUUGGUGUGAUCUCUUUAUUAAAGACGCAGUUAUGUACGCACCUUUCUGGAAACACGUGCUUGGUUUCUGGAAGCAGAGAAUCAACGACAACUUCCUAUUCCUAAAGUAUGAGGACAUGAAAAGGGACUUGCCGUCGGUAAUAAAAAGAACCGCAAAAUUUCUCGGUAAGAACUUGACCACCGAUCAGGAGUCGGUUUUGAUCCAGCACCUGAGUUUCGAUAGCAUGAAAGUGAACCCAGCUGUGAACAACGAGGAAGUCAUAGCCGUUAUGCAGAAGUUAAAUCCGUCCGAAAAAAAAGGAGAGUUCAUAAGGCGCGGAACGACCGAACAGUGGAAAACCGAAAUGACACCUGAAAUCGUUCAGCAGUUUGACGAUUGGACUCGGGAAAAUUUGAGGGGUACUUAUUACUCCACUUCUGAAUAACAGGUCUCAGCUUGUUUAUUGGAUGAUGCGAUAAAGGAUAUUGAAUAAUAUAAGACAAGGGAUGUCAAUUCCUCGGCACAAGCGAUAGCUUAAAAGAGAAGACAACAAGAAACAUGUCAUAGUAAGUAUCUUUGUCAAAUUAUUUUAUCGUUAACCAAAUUUGUACCAAUAUCAAAAUAGCUAUAAAAAAUUUAACAUUUAUU